RNAcentral lists this ribosomal RNA (497 nucleotides) under uncultured bacterium. RNAcentral describes it as "partial 16S ribosomal RNA". It matches the Rfam family "Bacterial small subunit ribosomal RNA", at positions 28 to 507 of the family's 1533-position model. The record is from RNAcentral.
GAUGAACGCUGGCGGCGUGCCUAAUACAUGCAAGUCGAGCGAACGGACGAGAAGCUUGCUUCUCUGAUGUUAGCGGCGGACGGGUGAGUAACACGUGGAUAACCUACCUAUAAGACUGGGAUAACUUCGGGAAACCGGAGCUAAUACCGGAUAAUAUUUUGAACCGCAUGGUUCAAAAGUGAAAGACGGUCUUGCUGUCACUUAUAGAUGGAUCUGCGCUGCAUUAGCUAGUUGGUAAGGUAACGGCUUACCAAGGCAACGAUGCAUAGCCGACCUAAGAGGGUGAUCGGCCACACUGGAACUGAGACACGGUCCAGACUCCUACGGGAGGCAGCAGUAGGGAAUCUUCCGCAAUGGGCGAAAGCCUGACGGAGCAACGCCGCGUGAGUGAUGAAGGUCUUCGGAUCGUAAAACUCUGUUAUUAGGGAAGAACAUAUGUGUAAGUAACUGUGCACAUCUUGACGGUACCUAAUCAGAAAGCCACGGCUAACUACGUG